GGGAAUCUGCCCUCAGGUUCGGAAUAACAGCGAGAAAUUGCUGCUAAUACCGGAUGAUAUCGCGAGAUCAAAGAUUUAUCGCCUGAGGAUGAGCCCGCGUAGGAUUAGCUAGUUGGUGUGGUAAAGGCGCACCAAGGCGACGAUCCUUAGCUGGUCUGAGAGGAUGAUCAGCCACACUGGGACUGAGACACGGCCCAGACUCCUACGGGAGGCAGCAGUGGGGAAUAUUGGACAAUGGGCGGAAGCCUGAUCCAGCAAUGCCGCGUGAGUGAUGAAGGCCUUAGGGUUGUAAAGCUCUUUUACCCGGGAUGAUAAUGACAGUACCGGGAGAAUAAGCUCCGGCUAACUCCGUGCCAGCAGCCGCGGUAAUACGGAGGGAGCUAGCGUUAUUCGGAAUUACUGGGCGUAAAGCGCACGUAGGCGGCUUUGUAAGUUAGAGGUGAAAGCCUGGAGCUCAACUCCAGAAUUGCCUUUAAGACUGCAUCGCUUG
RNAcentral lists this ribosomal RNA (490 nucleotides) under Sphingomonas sp. Z4_108_1. Its description in RNAcentral is "bacterial SSU rRNA". It matches the Rfam family "Bacterial small subunit ribosomal RNA", at positions 120 to 644 of the family's 1533-position model. The record is from RNAcentral. Lineage: Bacteria; Pseudomonadati; Pseudomonadota; Alphaproteobacteria; Sphingomonadales; Sphingomonadaceae.